GGACAGAACCUUUUAAGUCGCAUCACAAAGAGGAAUAUUCCUGACUGUAUGAUUUCUUCCAUUGCUAACUACUGCGCAGGACUCUGCACUGUCAGUUCUCUAAUGAUUGUGUUGUUUGAGGUCCGUGUUGUCAUAGAUGCAGAUGUUAUAUACCUGGCACCAGACUGGGCUUUCUGCAUAGCUUGUGUCUCCUUCUCUCUCAGCUUAGUGUUGGGCACACAAAACCUGCUAUGGGACAGGAUGUUCCACAAAAAAGUAAAACCAUCCCCAAAGGAAGAGCCAUCAACACCCAGUGACCCUUGAGUGUAGCCCACGGCCUAUGACACCUGUCACAGGUGUUCCCCAGUCAGGUGGGGCUUUGAAACCUGACUGGCCAAUGGGCGUUCUGUUUGGUGAUGUCACUUAACCAAGAGCCAUUUGAAAUAAGCCUGGAUUGCAGAAAAGAUGUCCACUUUCAUCUCUACAACAUCACUUUUGAGAAGCCUUCUUACCCAAGUGCCCAGCUGGAACCAUUAAAAUGAUCUCAUCCAUUACCAAGAUACCUUUUAUUCAGCAAUCUUUUCUGCCUAGGGUGGAAUAUCCUUCUUGCUUUCCAAGACUGCCCCAUUUCCCAACUUGCUUCUAAUUGUUGCUGCUGUUGUUUUU
Molecule: long non-coding RNA, 645 nt
Organism: Lacerta agilis (Sand lizard)
Lineage: Eukaryota; Metazoa; Chordata; Lepidosauria; Squamata; Lacertidae
Exons: 3
Source: RefSeq, a predicted model, not a curated record